Molecule: long non-coding RNA, 639 nt
Filed under: Vulpes vulpes (red fox)
Lineage: Eukaryota; Metazoa; Chordata; Mammalia; Carnivora; Canidae
Description: lncRNA (ENSVVUG00000006235.1)
Source: RNAcentral
UUUGUGAAGUCUUCUUCCUGGAACAUUCCGUGAUACCUUCCCACCAACCAACCAAUCUACGCUGCCUUUUCUCUCCCCACAGAAGUCCAACUUGCUCCACCGUGAAGGAAUUAGAGGAAGAUCAAUUGACCUCACCUGAGUUGAAUAUCUACCAAGAUUAAGCCGGAUGGGAGAAGUGGACGAUUCCAGGUCAUUUGUUGGGAAAGCAGAGCAUCUGAAGAGCAAAAAUGUAAGUUACACAUAUCCAUACAUGGGAAUUAAUAACUCCUUUAAAAAGUAUAAAAGUAAUGUUAAAAAUCUCCACCAGCACAGAAAAUAAUAAAAUAAAAAAUAGAAGUCAGCUUCCAAACUCACAGACAUCAACAUUGUUGACAAUUUCUUAUACUGCCCCCUGGACCUGGUAUGUGCAUGAGGCGCAUUCAUGAGGUACAGAUGUCCUUUUUUGUGUUAACUAAAUGGGAUCAUAUGAGACACACCUGCUUGGCAUUUUGCUUUUUCCAUCAGCAAUAUAUUUAACUCCUCCCUAUUGAUAGACAUUGAGGUUAUUUCCAUUUUUAAGCCUUCAAAUCACCUCAUUCUAUAACGAAUAUCCUUGUUAUAGGAACUUUGUGGACUAGUACAUGUACAUCUUUAAAUCAC